AACGAACGCUGGCGGCAGGCUUAACACGUGCAAGUCGAACGGGUGUAGCAAUACAUCAGUGGCAGACGGGUGAGUAACACGUGGGAACCUUCCUAGGGGUACGGAACAACUCAGGGAAACUUGAGCUAAUACCGUAUACGUCCGUGAGGAGAAAGAUUUAUCGCCCUUAGACGGGCCCGCGUCGGAUUAGCUAGUUGGUGGGGUAACGGCCUACCAAGGCGACGAUCCGUAGCUGAUCUUAGAGGAUGAUCAGCCACACUGGGACUGAGACACGGCCCAGACUCCUACGGGAGGCAGCAGUGGGGAAUCUUGGACAAUGGGCGCAAGCCUGAUCCAGCCAUGCCGCGUGAGUGAAGAAGGUCUUCGGAUUGUAAAGCUCUUUCGCCAGGGACGAUAAUGACGGUACCUGGAGAAUAAGCCCCGGCAAACUUCGUGCCAGCCGCCGCCGUAA
This 451-nucleotide ribosomal RNA is filed under the name uncultured bacterium. RNAcentral's name for it is "partial 16S ribosomal RNA". It matches the Rfam family "Bacterial small subunit ribosomal RNA", at positions 29 to 523 of the family's 1533-position model. The record is from RNAcentral.